UUUUACUGAAUAAAAUUUAGCUUUAAAUUUAACUGUUGAUUUAUUUUAAUUAUGUUUAAUAGUUUAGAUCAAUGUUUUGAAAAUUGGAUUGGAUCGGUCGGUUUAACCAGAUUAACCGGUUCUCUGUCCGAUCAGAUUAAAGCCUAGAACCUUCCUAUAAAAAAUUGAACAAACCAGUAAUUAACCGAUAAACUGACUGAAUCGAACCAUUUUUUAAACUCCGGGUUUGCUACUCCCCUCAAAACAGCAUCGUUUUGAUCCCAAAAAAAAGCUUCCUAAUUUCAUAAUAACAAAAAUGAGAGAAAACCAAACCCACAACCCACUCACAUAUUCAGGGCUCGUCCUUUGCACUAUACAACCUCAAAAACGAGGAACCCAGUAGCGCCAAGAUCUGCGGACCAAUAAGCCAGAAACCGUCAUUGUCGCCGGCGUCGCAAUUUCAUCGUUAGUCGUUACCUCUGCUCGCGAAGGUCGUUGUCGUCUUUGCUCGGUGCUCGCCUCUCCACUCAUUGAUCACGAUUGCUUUUUCCAUGGCUGACUUUGCCAUUGUUCCCCUUGCCGACGCUCAUCAGUAAUCUCUACGGUAAGCACUUAAUUGAUUUUACUGCUUAUGCUUGCUUAUGAGUUAUGAUUUAUGAAGAAAAGAAGGAAACUUCUAGCGUGAAGAAAGUAUUUUAAGAUAGGACCAGAACAAAUUAAGAAAUUGUGAAAAUGAUGGGAGUUGUUUUGAAAUAUAAUAAAAAAGUAAUUAAUUUUCACAUGGCUACCAUAUCCAUAUGAUCAUCACGUGUGUUUAAAGAGAAUUUAAAACUCAUAUAUAUCACC
This 825-nucleotide long non-coding RNA is filed under the name Arachis ipaensis. RNAcentral's name for it is "long non-coding RNA (AIPA_LNC000683)". Lineage: Eukaryota; Viridiplantae; Streptophyta; Magnoliopsida; Fabales; Fabaceae. The record is from RNAcentral.